This 489-nucleotide ribosomal RNA is filed under the name uncultured bacterium. Its description in RNAcentral is "partial 16S ribosomal RNA". It matches the Rfam family "Bacterial small subunit ribosomal RNA", at positions 30 to 506 of the family's 1533-position model. The record is from RNAcentral.
AUUGAACGCUGGCGGCAGGCCUAACACAUGCAAGUCGAACGGUAACAGGAAGAAGCUUGCUUCUUUGCUGACGAGUGGCGGACGGGUGAGUAAUGUCUGGGAAACUGCCUGAUGGAGGGGGAUAACUACUGGAAACGGUAGCUAAUACCGCAUAAUGUCGCAAGACCAAAGAGGGGGACCUUCGGGCCUCUUGCCAUCGGAUGUGCCCAGAUGGGAUUAGCUAGUAGGUGGGGUAACGGCUCACCUAGGCGACGAUCCCUAGCUGGUCUGAGAGGAUGACCAGCCACACUGGAACUGAGACACGGUCCAGACUCCUACGGGAGGCAGCAGUGGGGAAUAUUGCACAAUGGGCGCAAGCCUGAUGCAGCUAUGCCGCGUGUAUGAAGAAGGCCUUCGGGUUGUAAAGUACUUUCAGCGGGGAGGAAGGGAGUAAAGUUAAUACCUUUGCUCAUGGACGUUACCCGCAGAAGAAGCACCGGCUAACUCCGU